This 510-nucleotide ribosomal RNA is filed under the name uncultured bacterium. RNAcentral's name for it is "partial 16S ribosomal RNA". It matches the Rfam family "Bacterial small subunit ribosomal RNA", at positions 28 to 507 of the family's 1533-position model. The record is from RNAcentral.
GACGAACGCUGGCGGCGUGCUUAACACAUGCAAGUCGAACGAAGAGCGAUGGAAGCUUGCUUCUAUCAAUCUUAGUGGCGAACGGGUGAGUAACGCGUAAUCAACCUGCCCUUCAGAGGGGGACAACAGUUGGAAACGACUGCUAAUACCGCAUACGAUCUAAUCUCGGCAUCGAGGAUAGAUGAAAGGUGGCCUCUACAUGUAAGCUAUCACUGAAGGAGGGGAUUGCGUCUGAUUAGCUAGUUGGAGGGGUAACGGCCCACCAAGGCGAUGAUCAGUAGCCGGUCUGAGAGGAUGAACGGCCACAUUGGGACUGAGACACGGCCCAGACUCCUACGGGAGGCAGCAGUGGGGAAUCUUACGCAAUGGACGAAAGUCUGACGGAGCAACGCCGCGUGAGUGAUGACGGCCUUCGGGUUGUAAAGCUCUGUUAAUCGGGACGAAAGGCCUUCUUGCGAAUAGUGAGAAGGAUUGACGGUACCGGAAUAGAAAGCCACGGCUAACUACGUG